GAUGAACGCUGGCGGCGUGCCUAAUACAUGCAAGUCGAGCGAACAGAUAAGGAGCUUGCUCCUUUGACGUUAGCGGCGGACGGGUGAGUAACACGUGGGUAACCUACCUAUAAGACUGGAAUAACUCCGGGAAACCGGGGCUAAUGCCGGAUAACAUUUAGAACCGCAUGGUUCUAAAGUGAAAGAUGGUUUUGCUGUCACUUAUAGAUGGACCCGCGCCGUAUUAGCUAGUUGGUAAGGUAACGGCUUACCAAGGCAACGAUACGUAGCCGACCUGAGAGGGUGAUCGGCCACACUGGAACUGAGACACGGUCCAGACUCCUACGGGAGGCAGCAGUAGGGAAUCUUCCGCAAUGGGCGAAAGCCUGACGGAGCAACGCCGCGUGAGUGAUGAAGGUCUUCGGAUCGUAAAACUCUGUUAUUAGGGAAGAACAAAUGUGUAAGUAACUGUGCACGUCUUGACGGUACCUAAUCAGAAAGCCACGGCUAACUACGUG
Molecule: ribosomal RNA, 497 nt
Filed under: uncultured bacterium
Lineage: Bacteria
Description: partial 16S ribosomal RNA
Rfam family: Bacterial small subunit ribosomal RNA
Source: RNAcentral